UACGGAGGGUGCAAGCGUUAAUCGGAAUUACUGGGCGUAAAGCGUGCGUAGGCGGUUCGUUAAGUUUGUUGUGAAAGCCCCGGGCUCAACCUGGGAAUGGCAAUGGAUACUGGCGAGCUAGAGUGUGUCAGAGGAUGGUGGAAUUCCCGGUGUAGCGGUGAAAUGCGUAGAGAUCGGGAGGAACAUCAGUGGCGAAGGCGGCCAUCUGGGACAACACUGACGCUGAAGCACGAAAGCGUGGGGAGCAAACAGG
This 253-nucleotide ribosomal RNA is filed under the name uncultured bacterium. Its description in RNAcentral is "partial 16S ribosomal RNA". It matches the Rfam family "Bacterial small subunit ribosomal RNA", at positions 524 to 776 of the family's 1533-position model. The record is from RNAcentral.